AUUAAACGCUGGCGGCAUGCCUUACACAUGCAAGUCGAACGGCAGCACGGGGGGCAACCCUGGUGGCGAGUGGCGGACGGGUGAGUAAAGCAUCGGAACGUAUCCUGGAGUGGGGGAUAACGUAGCGAAAGUUACGCUAAUACCGCAUAUUCUGUGAGCAGGAAAGCAGGGGAUCGCAAGACCUUGCGCUCUGGGAGCGGCCGAUGUCGGAUUAGCUAGUUGGUGGGGUAAAGGCUCACCAAGCCAACGAUCUGUAGCUGGUCUGAGAGGACGACCAGCCACACUGGAACUGAGACACGGUCCAGACUCCUACGGGAGGCAGCAGUGGGGAAUUUUGGACAAUGGGCGCAAGCCUGAUCCAGCCAUGCCGCGUGAGUGAAGAAGGCC
This 387-nucleotide ribosomal RNA is filed under the name uncultured bacterium. RNAcentral's name for it is "bacterial SSU rRNA". It matches the Rfam family "Bacterial small subunit ribosomal RNA", at positions 29 to 416 of the family's 1533-position model. The record is from RNAcentral.